AGUUGGUUCUACCCGACGACGCUGCGCUAACCCUUCGGGGAGGCAGGCGGCCACGGUAGGAUCAGCGACUGGGGUGAAGUCGUAACAAGGUAGCCGUAGGGGAACCUGCGGCUGGAUCACCUCCUUUCUAAGGAUGAUCUUAGCAGCAAGACUUUUGUCUUACUCGUAGAUCACUUAGCAUGAUAUGUCCUUUGCAUAUCAAAACAUCAGUCCAUCUUUUGAUGGGCUUGGGCCGAGCCGUCCUCAUAUCUCUUCAGAAAUUGCAAGCCUUUGGCUUGUAUCAGCCGCCUGAUUGGACCACCACCGGCCCUUUCGGCAGACUUGUUUUGCAAGUCACCUGUCGGGCGUUGUCGAUCUUGUUACGCAAGAUCCACUGGGUCGGUAGCUCAGGUGGUUAGAGCGCACGCCUGAUAAGCGUGAGGUCGGAGGUUCAAGUCCUCCUCGACCCACCAUAUAUUACACCCUUAAAGGGGGCGUUAGCUCAGCUGGGAGAGCACCUGCUUUGCAAGCAGGGGGUCAUCGGUUCGAUCCCGAUACGCUCCACCAAGGACUUAAGUUUGAAAGUUAAGCAACUUGUGUUGUUUUGCUGUCCAACUUGGACAUUGAUCAGCCUUUGGGCUGACUUGACAUCGUAAAGAGAGAUACAAACAUCAGAAUUACUGAUGCGCCAAGUACGGUGUAUCGUGAUGUUGUUUGGCAUCGUGUAAGGGGGGUAGGAUUUAUCUUAUUCUUUUGUCGCGCUGCCUUUUAUAGCAACAGUUCACAAAGUAAUUUUGUUCCAAGUUAAGUACAAUUAUACCUGAGUAAUUCCGCAAGGUUUUACUCAUCGUCGCUGCUCUAUCCGGGCAGUGGCGGCACGAAUGUUGCCCCCUCUUUGAACCAGCGGGGGCCCAUGGGAAUAAUUUUGUAUGACUUUUGGUUCAGAAUUUAGUCAUCUUCGGAUGAUGUUGGCAGGACAUGCAAAAGGCCUGUCUUCUUCUGGAUCAAAUCAAGCGCGAAAAGGGCGUUUGGUGAAUGCCUUGGCAGUAAGAGGCGAUGAAGGACGUGAUACUCUGCGAUAAGUUAUGGGGAGCUGAGAAUAAGCUUUGAUCCAUAAAUUU
RNAcentral lists this unclassified non-coding RNA (1100 nucleotides) under uncultured marine bacterium. Its description in RNAcentral is "partial contains 16S ribosomal RNA, 16S-23S ribosomal RNA intergenic spacer, and 23S ribosomal RNA". The stretch from base 1 to 127 matches the Rfam family "Bacterial small subunit ribosomal RNA", at positions 1409 to 1533 of the family's 1533-position model. The record is from RNAcentral.